RNAcentral lists this long non-coding RNA (2609 nucleotides) under Ficedula albicollis (Collared flycatcher). RNAcentral describes it as "lncRNA (ENSFALG00000026562.1)". The record is from RNAcentral. Lineage: Eukaryota; Metazoa; Chordata; Aves; Passeriformes; Muscicapidae.
GGGGGGGGGGGGGGGGGGGGGGGGGGGGGGGGGGGGGGGGGGGGGGGGGGGGGGGGGGGGGGGGGGGGGGGGGGGGGGGGUUUUUUUUUUUUUUUUUUUUUUUUUUUUUUUUUUUUUUUGUGUGUAUCUUUUUUGGGGCCAUUUUGAGACUAAAACCAAGAGGUAUCUCAGGGGGGGUUAUGGUUAGCUCACACUAUGCAGAAUUACACACAGUAGGAAAUCUGGGGAUUUCUCUCUCUUGCUUCAGUGACUCUAGCAGCUUGCCCAGCACUCCUAAAGCGACAUGUUGUAAGGGUCAUGGGUUUGGAGCAAAGCCAAUACUAGUGUUAGCAAGCAGAAUUCCUUAUGACUCCACUUUUUAAAUUUUUUUUUUUCCUUUUUCUCUUUGCUAUUGGCCCAACACAAGCAGCAAAAGUAACAUGUCUGAACCUGUUUCAUUGUCUGUUCUGGUGGUUACCCACUUUCUUCUCCCCUGGUUCAGGGAAAGUGAGGAAAAAAGGUUUGCCUUUGCCCAGCAGCACUGCAGGUGUCUGUCCCUCUGAAAGAGUCCCAGCGGUGUGGGCGUGCUGGAAAGAAAAAUCCCCAGUGACUUCACCCAGCUUGGCUUGUGGUGGUUACUCACAAUGAGGUAACUUUUUUUUUCUAAAUUAUUUCUUUUCUUUUUUUUUUUUUUUUUUUUUUUUUUUUUUUUUUUUUUUUUUUUUUUUUUUUUUUUUUUACAUCUGAGUUUUUGCAUAUGAGUGAAACUGCAGCUCUGGGACGAUUCAGGGAGUUUUCUCUGCAGAGUAAUUUUGCCUUUACACUGCUAUUACAGCUCUGGUAUCCUAUAGCAAGUAAGAACAUAACAUUACAUCUGUUCACACGUGGGAGAUGGAGGAACUGCAUUAAGAGCCCAUCAGAUAGGAAGGUUCUUGUCCUGUUUGAAACACCAAAGAAGGCAGAAUUUUCAGUGCUGGUGGUUUGUGGAAAAAAAGAAAAAAAGCUACGGAGGACGUUUUACGUUGGGCAGAGAUUUCAGGCUGCAGCAAGAUCCAGCCUGUGCACUUGUGAAAGGCUGUGCUCUCCUCUGGGGCUGGAGGAAGACAAAGGCACCAUUCAAGGAUGAGCUCCAACCCAGAACCCAUUCUGAACAGGAACCUGACCAUCUUGUCUUGGAGGCUUGGUGUGAGAACCAUAUGGAAGGGAAGAAGUAUCCUAGACCCAAGAUGCAAGUUCAUGGAUUGUAGAGGAAGACAGGAGGCCAAACACUGAAACAGCAUCUAACAGAAGUGCACACUGGGUCAAAAUUUCCACUUCUAUUUGGUCGAAUUUCCAACAUAAAUUAAACCAUUUUCUCGAAGUCGUGGCUUUUCCCAUUGGUAAGCUAUGAAUCUUCCCUCACAGUUAAUUCACUAUUUUCAGUUAGUUACAAUCGCUCAUAGGCUGCACAAUCUCUGAGCACAUUAGAGCCAUAGUAGAACUGUCUGGCAUUUGUAAACAGACAACACUUGGGACUUUGUAAUACUCUAACUCAGUGCACUAGUGUGCCAAAAUAAAGGUCAUUUCAAUUUCAUAUUAUGUCACGCAGUUUUGAAGUGACAUGUGUUUAAUGAUUUUUUUCUCCAGUAAAUGAAUGAAAGCAAGCAUCAAACUAAUACGCUUUGAUGAUGUGCCCACAAAGAAGAGGCAAAAAUCUUUUCAAAAACAUUAAACUAAUAUUUUACCAGAAAAAAACCCCACAACCCAAUACAAAGAUUCAAACUCCUACCCAAAGCUUCUGCAAUGAAGAAAAUCAGACUUCUUUGCCCUUUCCAGAUGACAGUUUGCAGAAGUUUCACUGUAAUUUAUUUAUCUGUGUCUAUCACUGCAGAGAGUGAGGCUGAUCUUUUGAAAGAGGCAGAAGAGCACGAAGGUUGCAAUUUGAGCUUGUUACAGAAGCUGUAUCACAAAGCUCAUAACAGGACCACUAAAGGAAUGGAAAAGCUGGUCCUAAUGUGUAUGAGGCCUAUGAUUGUGCAUAGACAUGUUUAAAGUCUUGUCAUUUAGCAAAGCCUUCUUGUCUUCCAAAUCCACAUAUUCCAGGUAGUUUCUCUCUGCCAUCUUUCUAGCAGGCUGUGGGCUCAAACAGGCACAAACUGGAGCACAGGAGGUGCAAUCAGAACAUCAGGAAACACUUUUCAUGGUGAGUGUGGUCACCCACAGAUUGCCCAGGAAGGCUGUGAAGUCUCCAUUCUUAGAGGUAUUCAAAAGCCAUCAUGACCUGGUCCAGGCAGCUUGCUCCAGGUGGCCCUUCCUGAGCAAGGUGGUUGGGUCAGAUGACCCCCAGAGGUCCCUUCCAAUGCCAACCAUUCUGUGACUGAUUCUGUGGCUGCUUGAUCAGAGCUGCUGACAUCUUUGGUUUUGGGAAUAUUGCUUUUGGUGUUAGCAGUUGGUUGUGUUCCACUUUUAAGAAACUAAUAGUUCCUUCAGCACAGAAUAGGCAAGAAAGCUGUUUUGAUUCUUGGAGACUUCUUGAUUCUUAUGAGUGUGCAGGAGGAAAGGUUGUACUGAGGCUUCCUCUCCUAAGAGGGAGUGUGAAGAUUCCAGGAAGUAGGAUGAACACUAGCAAAUGGCUGGUAGUGUGAAUGCUG